GACGAACGCUGGCGGCGUGCCUAAUACAUGCAAGUCGAGCGGACUUUCAAGAAGCUUGCUUUUUGAAAGUUAGCGGCGGACGGGUGAGUAACACGUGGGCAACCUGCCUGCAAGACGGGGAUAACUCCGGGAAACCGGGGCUAAUACCGGAUAAUAUCUUCCUUCGCAUGAAGGAAGGUUGAAAGGCGGCGCAAGCUGCCGCUUGCAGAUGGGCCCGCGGCGCAUUAGCUAGUUGGUGAGGUAACGGCUCACCAAGGCGACGAUGCGUAGCCGACCUGAGAGGGUGAUCGGCCACACUGGGACGGAGACACGGCCCAGACUCCUACGGGAGGCAGCAGGAGGGAAUCGUCCGCAAUGGGCGAGAGACUGACGGAGCAGCGCCGCGUGAGCGAGGAGGGUCUUCGGAUCGUAAAGCUCUGUUGUCAGGGAAGAACAAGUACCGUUCGAACAGGGCGGGACCUUGACGGUACCUGGCCAGAAAGCCACGGCUAACUACGUG
RNAcentral lists this ribosomal RNA (499 nucleotides) under uncultured bacterium. Its description in RNAcentral is "partial 16S ribosomal RNA". It matches the Rfam family "Bacterial small subunit ribosomal RNA", at positions 28 to 507 of the family's 1533-position model. The record is from RNAcentral.